GGGCCUCUAUGGGCAAUCCAUCACCAAAUGUUAUGUACUCCAACACUUGUAACAGGAGUGGUUCAAAUGUCGACAAGGCUAAUCACCAUGGUAGCGACCACAAUGUCGGCAAGGGGGAGAAGUCCGAAUAAGAUCUCUACUAGGAAGGGAAAAAACAGAAGGGGCUGGAACAAGGCCAAGGUCUGGAAAUCUCCUCUUUUGCUACUAUUGCUACU
RNAcentral lists this long non-coding RNA (215 nucleotides) under Carica papaya (papaya). Its description in RNAcentral is "long non-coding RNA (CPAP_LNC012409)". The record is from RNAcentral. Lineage: Eukaryota; Viridiplantae; Streptophyta; Magnoliopsida; Brassicales; Caricaceae.